This 696-nucleotide ribosomal RNA is filed under the name uncultured bacterium. RNAcentral's name for it is "bacterial SSU rRNA". It matches the Rfam family "Bacterial small subunit ribosomal RNA", at positions 620 to 1315 of the family's 1533-position model. The record is from RNAcentral.
AAUUGCGUCGAUACUGUAGUCUGAGGUAUUGGUCAAAGUAAGGCCGGAAAUGUGUUAAUGUAGCGGGUGAAAUGCUUAGAUAUUACACCAGAACACCCAAUUGCGAAGGCAGCUCACUAAGCUGUUACUGACGCUGAGGCACGAAAGCGUGGGGAGCAAACAGGAUUAGAUACCUGGUAGUCACGCCGGUAACGAUGAUCACUCGUUGUUGGCGAUACACCGUCAGCGACUGAGCGAAAGCAAUAAGUGAUCCACCUGGGGAGUACGGUCGCAAGACUGAAACUCAAAGGAAUUGACGGGGGCCCGCACAAGCGGAGGAACAUGUGGUUUAAUUCGAUGAUACGCGAGGAACCUUACCUGGGCUUAAAUGUAGAGUGCAUUGAGAGGAAACUUUCAUUUUCUUCGGAACUCUUUACAAGGUGCUGCAUGGUUGUCGUCAGCUCGUGCCGUGAGGUGUCGGGUUAAGUCCCAUAACGAGCGCAACCCUUAUCGUUAGUUGCCAGCGGGUAAUGCCGGGAACUCUAGCGAAACUGCCGGUGUAAACCGAGAGGAAGGUGGGGAUGACGUCAAAUCAGCACGGCCCUUAUGUCCAGGGCUACACACGUGUUACAAUGGCCGGUACAGAGGGCAGCUACCUGGAGACAGGAUGCGAAUCUCGAAAGCCGGUCUCAGUUCGGAUCGGAGUCUGCAACCCGA